AAAAGUGAACCAUCAAAGCACAAUUAAAACUUUGCCGCCCAAAAUGACGUUGUCCUUCCAUCUUCAUCUGAUUUCUUGCACACAUACAAAUCAACCACACAACUGGUUUCGACCAUCUCUAUCUCUCGACACCCCUACAACCCACCUUCACUUCCAUGGUUAAACACCACGAUGUAGUUCGCCACCCGCAAUCAGUAUCGGACACCUUCACAACACCGUAACACCUUUCGUUAAGCCUUGCACCCCGCCGGAGAAGGACCGCAACACCUCGGAGUAAUCGAGGUGCCUUCGAAGAAUAACAAGCCUUCCCGGAACGUGAAGACGACACUGAAGACUUUCGGAGCUUACGACGGAACUCAACCCGUCACCGUCUUGCCGCCGGAACUCGAAGACGUCACGGAGCACGAGUCGGAGACGACCGAGGUUCACAACGGGAAUCAUCUCGUCAUCUCAUCGCCGAAGCUGUUCGAAUCACGUUGAAGCUUACUGUUCGAUCUGAUCAUAAAAAUUGAAGGUAUGUUGUGAAGACCUUCUUUCAGACUCCUUCCCCUACAAGGAACUAUUGAAUGGGUUCCUAUGAGAAGUUGAAGAAAAGUUAUGGAUAAUGAAAACAAUGCUCCUUCGUUAUUAAAGUCGAUUGAGGACUAUGAUCCUAUAUUUUUCGAAUUGUUCGUCGACCAAAAACAGUUAUGGAUCAUGAAAACAACGCUCCUUCGUUGUUAAAGUUGAUUGAGAACUAUGAUCCUAUAUUUUUGGAAAUACCAUAUGAUUUUGCAACCUUAUUGUGGGGAGAACAACUUCCAUAUGUCAAUGUCUUAAAAUUAGUGAUGAUGAUUUAUCGUGAGUCAUUGAGUUAUAAUUUUUGUAUUUAGU
This 873-nucleotide long non-coding RNA is filed under the name Helianthus annuus (common sunflower). Lineage: Eukaryota; Viridiplantae; Streptophyta; Magnoliopsida; Asterales; Asteraceae. The record is from RNAcentral.